RNAcentral lists this ribosomal RNA (784 nucleotides) under uncultured bacterium. Its description in RNAcentral is "bacterial SSU rRNA". It matches the Rfam family "Bacterial small subunit ribosomal RNA", at positions 76 to 849 of the family's 1533-position model. The record is from RNAcentral.
CUCUUCGGGGAUGAUUAAACCGGCGCACGGGUGAGUAACACGUGAGUGACCUGCCUUUUAGACUGGAACAACUUACCGAAAGGUGAGCUAAUGCCGGAUGAGUUAUAUAAGUGCAUGUUUAUAUAGGAAAAGUUGGGGAGACCUGACGCUGAAAGAUGGACUCGCGUCCCAUUAGCUAGUUGGUAGGGUAAUGGCCUACCAAGGCGACGAUGGGUAGCCGGCCUGAGAGGGUGGCCGGCCUCACUGGGACUGAGACACGGCCCAGACUCCUACGGGAGGCAGCAGUGGGGAAUUUUGCGCAAUGCUCGUAAGAGUGACGCAGCGACGCCGCGUGAAUGACGAAGGCCUUCGGGUCGUAAAGUUCUUUCGACAGGGAAGAAAAUGCCUAUAAGUAACUGUGUAUGUAUUGACGGUACCUGUAUAAGCAGCCCCGGCUAACUCCGUGCCAGCAGCCGCGGUAAUACGGAGGGGGCGAGCGUUGUUCGGAGUGACUGGGCGUAAAGAGCACGUAGGCGGUGUUGUAAGUCAUUAGUCAAAGACUAGAGCUCAACUUUAGUAAGGCUAGUGAUACUAUAAUACUAGAGUAUCAGAGAGGAUUGCAGAAUUCCUGGUGUAGCGGUGAAAUGCGUAGAUAUCAGGAGGAAUACCGUUAGCGAAGGCGGCAAUCUGGCUGGAAACUGACGCUGAGGUGCGAAAGCGUGGGUAGCAAACAGGAUUAGAUACCCUGGUAGUCCACGCUGUAAACGAUGGAUGCUAGGUGUUGGGCUUUUAAGUUCAGUGCCGC